CGGACGGGUGAGUAACGCGUGAGUAACCUGCCUUGGAGUGGGGAAUAACAGUUAGAAAUGACUGCUAAUACCGCAUAAGCGCACAAAACCGCAUGGUUUGGUGUGAAAAACUGAGGUGGUAUGAGAUGGACCCGCGUCUGAUUAGCUAGUUGGAGAGGUAACGGCUCACCAAGGCAACGAUCAGUAGCCGACCUGAGAGGGUGACCGGCCACAUUGGGACUGAGACACGGCCCAAACUCCUACGGAAGGCAGCAG
RNAcentral lists this ribosomal RNA (255 nucleotides) under uncultured bacterium. RNAcentral describes it as "partial 16S ribosomal RNA". It matches the Rfam family "Bacterial small subunit ribosomal RNA", at positions 99 to 354 of the family's 1533-position model. The record is from RNAcentral.